AGUGAACGCUGGCGGUAGGCCUAACACAUGCAAGUCGAACGGCAGCACAGUAAGAGCUUGCUCUUACGGGUGGCGAGUGGCGGACGGGUGAGGAAUACAUCGGAAUCUACUUUUUCGUGGGGGAUAACGUAGGGAAACUUACGCUAAUACCGCAUACGACCUACGGGUGAAAGCAGGGGAUCUUCGGACCUUGCGCGAUUGAAUGAGCCGAUGUCGGAUUAGCUAGUUGGCGGGGUAAAGGCCCACCAAGGCGACGAUCCGUAGCUGGUCUGAGAGGAUGAACAGCAAAACUGGAACUGAGACACGGUCCAGACUCCUACGGGAGGCAGCAGUGGGGAAUAUUGGACAAUGGGCGCAAGCCUGAUCCAGCCAUACCGCGUGGGUGAAGAAGGCCUUCGGGUUGUAAAGCCCUUUUGUUGGGAAAGAAAAGAAGCAGGUUAAUACCCCGCUGUUCUGACGGUACCAAAAGAAUAAGCACCGGCUAACUUCGUG
Molecule: ribosomal RNA, 492 nt
Filed under: uncultured bacterium
Lineage: Bacteria
Description: partial 16S ribosomal RNA
Rfam family: Bacterial small subunit ribosomal RNA
Source: RNAcentral